UACGUAGGUGGCAAGCGUUGUCCGGAUUUAUUGGGUUUAAAGGGUGCGUAGGCGGCCCUGUAAGUCAGUGCUGAAAUAUCCCAGCUUAACUGGGAGGUGGCAUUGAUACUGCGGGGCUAGAGUACAGAUGAGGUAGGCGGAAUUGACGGUGUAGCGGUGAAAUGCUUAGAUAUCGUCAAGAACACCUAUAGCGAAGGCAGCUUACUAGGCUGUAACUGACGCUGAGGCACGAAAGUGUGGGGAUCAAACAGG
This 252-nucleotide ribosomal RNA is filed under the name uncultured bacterium. Its description in RNAcentral is "partial 16S ribosomal RNA". It matches the Rfam family "Bacterial small subunit ribosomal RNA", at positions 524 to 776 of the family's 1533-position model. The record is from RNAcentral.